CUACAGCUACAUCUGUGGCAUAUGGAAGUUCCUGGGCUGGGGGUCAAGUUGGAGUUGCAGCUGUGACCUAUGUCACAGUCAUGGCAACACCGGAUCCAAGCCACAUCUGCAACCUAUGCUGCAGCUUGAAGUAACACCGGAUCCUUAACCCACUAAGGCCAGGGAUUGAACCUGAACCCUCACUCAGCUACUAGGAAAAGGAACAUCACAAAUUACGUAGCAUUUCCUCAAAGGCUGAGGUAGUUAACAUUCCCAUUUUACAGAGAAGUGGUCUGCCCAGGUUACCAUAGCAACAGAGUGGUCCAGUCUAGGCACCUGAUUGCCCGUGAUGGGCCGAGAAGUCUCCUGAACGUGUUAUACGUUCUCAUUCAUUGAGCCCUAGUCUUAACUCCAGGAGGCAGGUUCCAGCAUCAAUUUCCAGAUAAAACUGCAGCAGGAAACCUGGAGGCAGUUACGAUUGCCUGGUUAUAGAUAAGGAAACUGAAGCUUUCCUUCAGUUUCCUGAUUGGCUGAGGUAAGAGAACAAUUAAGUAUUAACUCAGUAGCUCCAGGACCUUGGCUAAUUUGAAUUCAGGCCAGGUUUUGAAGCCAGGCCAUCUGGCCCUAGAGCCUGUGCUCUCAGCCUACUGGUGACAAGCUGUUCUUCCUUGGAGCCAGAUGGCUUGAUUUUGCACAGAUGUCUUUUACCUGCUGUGCUACCCUGAAUAAGUUACUUAAAUGCUCUGUGCCUAAACUUCCUCCUCUGAAAAAUGGGGAGAGUAAUGGUUACCUACUUCAGAGUUAUGGAGCUGAUUAGCAUCUGAUGAUUCAGCACAUAGGAGACACUUAGAACAGUUUGGUACAGAAAGAAGGGCUCAAUUAGCUAAUGCGAUGAUUAAUCACAAAGCUAUAAAAUUUCCCAAAGCAUUUAAAGAAUGGUUUAUGUAAUAAAAGCUUGAGUCACAUUUAACCGUUCAAGAAUGUAUUCACUAGUAGAAAGCAAAGGAUACUUGUAUUUUCAAUCAGCUGGUUUCAAUCUAGAAUAAUGAUUUCCAAACCCUGAGGGGUCUGCCAAGAACCACCCCCCGCCCCCAUCAGGUGAAUUUCUGUUCGUGGUGGGGGACGAGCUGGAGGGGUUCAGACUUUAUGCAUUUAUUUAUUUUUUGUUUGCUUUUCAUGGCUGCACAGGCAGCACAUGGAGGCUCCCAGGCUAGGGGUCACAUCAGAGCUGUAGCUGCUGGCCUACACCACAGCCACAGCAACGUUGGGUCCAAGCCUUGUCUGCAACUACACUACACCUCGUGGCAACACCGGAUCCUCAACCCACUGAGCAAGGCCAGAGAUUGAACCCGCAUCAGGGAUAAUAGCGGGAUUCGUUAUCACUGAGCCACCAUGGGAACUCCAACUUCCUCCAUUUAGAUAUAAACGAAAAGCAGCUUGGGAACCAGUGGUCUGUCUAAAAGACUACGGCAGGAUCACACAGCUGCGUCUGCUUAUUACUAUACAUACACGAUUCCCUGCAAUUAUCAAGUGCAGGACCCCAGCUCCUCGGGUAUAAGCGUGGCAACUAUGACAUCACAGGGCACACUCAGAGGAGGCAGUUUGGGGCAACAUGACCCCCUUCGCCUUUUUCAUAUGCUGCUCCUGACCAAGUCAGGUUAUGGAGGGAAGUAAGAGCCCAAGAGAAGGGUUCGAAGGUCCAACGAAGUACUGAGGCUUCUGGGUAAAGACACGGCACAAAGUAGAACUUCAAGAGAAGAGAAGAACAAUCUAGCGUGAUGUGCAGACAAACUGGGAUGGAUCUAUGGAGGUGGCUGAGGUGGCUGCUACCGGACGGAAGCUAAGAGGACAAGGAGUGUGCUGAUGAUGCUGAGUCCACGCUGCUCUGUGUCUACACAAGGACGGUGGUGGGAAUAGAGAAAAGGUAUUGCUUUAAGAGGGGGAAAUCGGCAAGGCUUCAGGAGGGGAAAGAGUUAAGGAAGAAGGCACAAAAAGGAGCCUGGGUUCUUAAGCUUGGUUGCCUUGGAGAACAGUGGGCUCACCUCCAAAGCAGGUGCAAGAAAGAGAGGACUAACCUGGAUUUCAGGGGAUGUAUGAUUCGUGUUGGGGGUUGGGUCUGUGGACCUGGCGCUGCCACUAGAUGGUCACUUCCAUCUGCAGGCAAACCUCAUCUGAGUGCACAUCACUUUACUGAGCUUUGCAGAUACUGUGUUUUUGUUUUUAUAAUCUGAAGGUUUGUGGCAACCCUGCCUCAAGCAAGUCUAUCAGAGCCAUUUUUUCCAACAGC
RNAcentral lists this long non-coding RNA (2266 nucleotides) under Sus scrofa (pig). RNAcentral describes it as "lncRNA (ENSSSCG00060028367.1)". The record is from RNAcentral. Lineage: Eukaryota; Metazoa; Chordata; Mammalia; Artiodactyla; Suidae.